This is a small nucleolar RNA of Ornithorhynchus anatinus (platypus), 138 nucleotides long. NCBI's taxonomy places the organism in Eukaryota, Metazoa, Chordata, Mammalia, Monotremata, Ornithorhynchidae. The record is from RefSeq and is a predicted model, not a curated record.
CCCCUCUCAGAGUCGCACCUGGAGAGUUUUCAGCACUCUUCCAGUUUCGACUAUGUGAGGGAAAGUCAAGCAGAGGCAUACUUAUUCCAUUCCUAGCUUGGGCAGUGGCUAGCGAGUGGAAGGCAAUCUGCUACAAGC